Molecule: long non-coding RNA, 626 nt
Organism: Daphnia pulicaria
Lineage: Eukaryota; Metazoa; Arthropoda; Branchiopoda; Diplostraca; Daphniidae
Exons: 2
Source: RefSeq, a predicted model, not a curated record
GUUCUGCUUUAUGUUUUGGCAACUUAUACGCGGACCUCCAAAUUGGGCGAACGGUUGGUGUCAUGUAACAACAUAAAAUAGAUGUUACCGAACAUUUCAGAACUAAAAAAAUGCGGACAAACAGUCAGAAUGGAUCGGGGCUGCUGUCGAGGGAAGUCAUACGGAUGAGAGAGAAAGGAUGCACAGAACCGGCAUAGUAACGGUAAAUUAUGCAAAGAUGAUGUAACGUCUCACUUUCAAAAGUCCAUCAUUUUCAAAAGGACUAAAUCAACAGAAACAAACACAUUUUUGAAAAUACAAAUGUUUAUUUCGACCGUCAUUUGUUCCUUUUUAAAAAUUUCGUUCUGUGGUAAAAGCUUGCAAAAAGUAUAAUUGAUAUGUAGCUGUCGUUCUUGGCAAAUGUAAGAAUUCUUGGGCGUUGCCAUGGUGGUUAUUCCGUGCGAAAUAAUUCCUAAGACUAGUUUACAGGACUCCGGCGGCUUUGAGGUCUGCGAGCAUCUUGACGACGUGCUCGGGCAUGGGUGGAGGAGUGGGGAGGUGGUCGCCGGUGGCCUGGAAUCCGUUUUCAUCGGCCACCCAAUUGACGGUGAGGACGACGCCGUCGGGAGUCGUGAACGAGUAGGAGC